UCAGUGUGACGCAGCGAUCUCGCAUGUAGACACGACGCGAAUCGACCACGUCCGUAGGUUUUACAACAAUCACUUUCCAUUCACGAUGAAAUCAACUAUCUCAGAUUCUGCGGCUUUCAAGUUGAUAAAGUUAGUAAAAUCUCGACCAUAUAUUUGGAAUAUGAACUAUGAAAAGUACAAUGACAGAUUUCACGUUGCUAUUAGUUGGAAGGAGAUACAAGAGGCGCUGAGUGAUACUGGUCUUUCAGAAGACGCGUUGCGCUUGAAAUGGCGAAACUAUCGGGACAUCUUCAGACGGGAACUCAGAAAAUACCCAUGUCACAGCCCAGAAGAUUACGGAGGCAAAUGGCAAUUCUUCAGAGCAAUGUUCUUCUUGAAAACCGAGCUUUACGAAAAAGAGACCGAACAAUACUUAGCCGAGAAAAACGAAGAAGAUAAAAGUGAUAAUGAGGAACCACAUUUUGUUGUUAAAUUUGAGCCCCAAGAAGAUGAAGCACCGCCAAUUGAUUUUGUAAGUACUACGUCAGACGACGACGAGAGGAGAUCAAAAAGGCGGCGGGUGGACAAGAAUGACUACGACCAAAUGUUUCUGAAGUCUUUGGUGCCGUAUUUCCGUCAGUUGGAACCCAUGAGAAAAUUGGCCGUGAGGACUAAAUUGCAGAAUUUAUUGUUUGAGGAAUUGAAGGAGCAAGCGGAGAGCAAAGAAGAUGAUUUUUAGUAAUAACAUAGGCGGUUUUUAAACUGAUGUACAAAUAGAACCAAAUGUAGUUUCUAUGAAAAGAUUUCUCAAAGAAUUUCGGUCAUUGUUAUAAAUGUAAAUAAAGUCCUCAAAUGAUCGAAAUUAACAAUCUAAUAAAAAGUAUAGAAGUAAGAAAAUUUUAACGAUAAGAAAUACAAAUUUUUGCAAUCAAACCAAAAUAGGUAUUAUCGCAUAUCUACCUAAUUAGUUAGGUGACGCUUAUUUCCAAGCUAAUAAACUGUUUUGUUUUUAAGUAAAUAAUAAUUGCAAAAACCAGUUUGGAAGUAGAAUGCAAAUUAUUCAGAA
RNA transcript from Amyelois transitella, 1045 nucleotides. RefSeq lists it as uncharacterized. The transcript has 3 exons. The record is from RefSeq and is a predicted model, not a curated record. Lineage: Eukaryota; Metazoa; Arthropoda; Insecta; Lepidoptera; Pyralidae.